CUCCGCGAGCGAGUCCCUCGAGCCGAGCGUUCGGCCGCCAUGUCGGCGCCACGCUGCUGAGGAGCGCCGGUUGGCAGGGCGGCCGAGAUGGUGGGAGUAGGACAGAGACCCAGCGUGGGGCGAUGGCGCCAUCUUGGGAGUGGUAGAGGCGAGAUCCCCAUUUGAUGCAGUCGGGGGAAGGCCUGGGCGCAGAUCAGCUUUUUGGGAGAUGUCGGGGGCGAGUCUCGCGAGUGUAAGACAUUCACACAUCCCAGCGAAAAUGGAUGGAUCCGCCUAGGUCCUCCAUGGGCUUUGGACACUGCCCUGAGUCGCCCCAAAUUGCAGUUUCACUAGAGCAAGGGCAGGAGGCUUUUCUGUCACUUAAGCACUGCCGGGGAGAUGGGGAGCCUCAGCUCGGUCACUGGUGUGUGUCAGAGAAGGCUUGCCGUGGCACCUGCAGAGCCAGUGGAUGACCCUGGACGCCAGCCAGCCCUGCAGUCGUUGGGGCUGCAAUUUGAGAAUUCCUGAGGAUGGGCAGAGUCUGAAGAUGCUGCUGCUUUGGCCCUGAUUCAAGCUGGUGCUGAACAGCUCUGGGCUCAGACCAGAGUUGGUAACGUUUGUAGGGCCUCACCAAGAGUCAGCACUCAAUAGACGUUUCCUAAACUGUAA
This is a long non-coding RNA of Manis pentadactyla (Chinese pangolin), 648 nucleotides long. RefSeq lists it as uncharacterized. The record is from RefSeq and is a predicted model, not a curated record. NCBI's taxonomy places the organism in Eukaryota, Metazoa, Chordata, Mammalia, Pholidota, Manidae. The transcript has 2 exons.